This 1172-nucleotide long non-coding RNA is filed under the name Citrus sinensis (sweet orange). Its description in RNAcentral is "long non-coding RNA (CSIN_LNC000936)". The record is from RNAcentral. Lineage: Eukaryota; Viridiplantae; Streptophyta; Magnoliopsida; Sapindales; Rutaceae.
UUCGAAUCAAAGACAAAGAAGACACAGAAAUGGCUUUGCCCAAGGCCCAGGAAACCGUUUCCUCCAAUUCCGUCGUCGUUUUCAGGUCUUCCUCUUUCCGAUACUGGCGGCUGUGCUAUUGUUACAUAAUUUUGGUUUGAUUUUGAUUCUUACAUCGAUAUUUAUAUUAAUUGCAGCAAAACGCUUUGUCCGUUCUGCGUGAGUGUCAAAGAGCUGUUUCAGCAACUCGGAGUCACUUUCAAGGCCAUUGAACUGGACAAAGAAAGUUAGUCCUCUUUUUUUUCGCCUUUGCAUUUUUGGGAUUCUAUUUUGUCUCUGAAUUUGCGUCAAAACAUUUCCUAAUUUAUUCAAUAUAUCAUUUUUUACAUUGAUUGGAUUCGACUGAGAUUAUGCUUCAUUUUUUUUUCUUUCCUUUGCCGAUGUUUACUGCUCCUGACACUUGGUGCCGCGCUUCUGUUUAUUCUUAUUGAAGUUGGUGGGAGUUAUGGAAGUAGUUAGCACAGAUAUGGUUUUGUAAGUAGGUAGAAUUUUAACAACUGAUGUUGGAGCUUGUAUUUAGUCAAUAAACCAAAGAGUCUAAUGAAUCUGAUGUGGUGGCUUAGUGUUGUUUUUACGGGUCAGGAUUUGGUGCUCGGCUGAGUUUGUGUUGAGCACCGAAUCAAAUGAUCAGGAUUCCUUCGACAUGGGUCUCAUUUAGGUCUUUAAUCUACUCUGACCUUUGAUUCAGUCUCAGCUGAGCACCAAAUCCUGGGCCUGUUCUUCAGUGGUUAUUCGGGGAAAGAGAGAGAGUAAAAGAAAAAAAAAAAGAACGUAACUAGGUCUUUAAACCUCUGUGUGUUCUUGAUCUUGAAUAGAAUUAUUAUUUUUAUAGAAUGAAAGCUUCGGAUUUUGUCUUAUAUCCUAUUCACAAUUGAAGUAGAAGUAAAGAAGACAGAUCAGUAACUUGCAUUUUUUUUUUCUGGUAAUUUAUAGGUGAUGGAAGUGACAUUCAAUCAGCUCUAGCUGAGUGGACUGGACAGAAAACUGUUCCAAAUGUCUUCAUCGGAGGGAAACACAUUGGUGGCUGCGAUUCAACUACUGCACUGCACAGGGAAGGGAAGCUGGUUCCUCUGCUCACUGAAGCUGGAGCUGUUGCCAAGACAGCUGCCUAAGGGAUGGCUAUUCUCUGCCUG